RNAcentral lists this ribosomal RNA (444 nucleotides) under uncultured bacterium. RNAcentral's name for it is "partial 16S ribosomal RNA". It matches the Rfam family "Bacterial small subunit ribosomal RNA", at positions 329 to 792 of the family's 1533-position model. The record is from RNAcentral.
GGCCAGACUCCUACGGGAGGCAGCAGUGGGGAAUAUUGCACAAUGGGGGAAACCCUGAUGCAGCGACGCCGCGUGAGUGAAGAAGUAUUUCGGUAUGUAAAGCUCUAUCAGCAGGAAAGAAAAUGACGGUACCUGACUAAGAAGCCCCGGCUAACUACGUGCCAGCAGCCGCGGUAAUACGUAGGGGGCAAGCGUUAUCCGGAUUUACUGGGUGUAAAGGGGGCGCAGACGGCGAUGCAAGCCAGGAGUGAAAGCCCGGGGCCCAACCCCGGGACUGCUCUUGGAACUGCGUGGCUAGAGUGCAGGAGGGGCAGGCGGAAUUCCUGGUGUAGCGGUGAAAUGCGUAGAUAUCAGGAGGAACACCGGUGGCGAAGGCGGCCUGCGGGACUGCAACUGACGUUGAGGCCCGAAAGCGUGGGGAGCAAACAGGAUUAGAUACCCGUA